GCGCCCGUAGCUCAGGGGAUAGAGUAGCACACUCCGAAUGUGAAGGCCGUGAGUUCGAAUCUCACCGGGCGCACCA
This 76-nucleotide transfer RNA is filed under the name Bacillota bacterium. RNAcentral describes it as "tRNA-Arg". It matches the Rfam family "tRNA". From Rfam's summary of the family: Transfer RNA (tRNA) molecules are approximately 80 nucleotides in length. Their secondary structure includes four short double-helical elements and three loops (D, anti-codon, and T loops). RNAcentral also lists the same sequence under 1 other name. Lineage: Bacteria; Bacillati; Bacillota. The record is from RNAcentral.